Ictalurus punctatus (channel catfish) is the source of this 1272-nucleotide long non-coding RNA. The record is from Ensembl. NCBI's taxonomy places the organism in Eukaryota, Metazoa, Chordata, Actinopteri, Siluriformes, Ictaluridae.
GUAAUUACCUGCAAUGUCCUGAGAGGCAGCGUGUGAGAGCGGCUUCAUCCGAGUCAAUCAGACCCACGCAGGGUUGCUAAGUGCAUCUAGGACGCUUAAUUAGCUGAUCUGCUUUCACCGAGUGCACUUCAGCCUCCUGAAACCCGCACCGCGUAUUUUUCCCAUCGCUCCGAGUAUUAGUGCCUUGUGUGUGUUGACCUUACCUCCCAUAAUGCAUCUCCUGUCCUCAGCAUGGCUCUGUGUCACAGGACAGAGUUAGCGUCUCGCGCGCUUCACGCUCGUGUUAAUGGAGAUUAGCAGCGCAUGCUCGUUAGUCCAGAGACGGAACUUUCCGUCGUGUUCAGAACCGCUUUAAAAUAACGCACGCCCAUGAGUUUAAUCCUGGAGUCGGAAGAUGAGUCAGAAGUGUGUGUGUGAGACGGCGAGUUCGAUUUCAUGCUGAAGUUCCAUUCGAUCAGGGAUUAAUGAGACGAUGUUGACUGUGAGCGAGGCUGCGUUCAGACGCUCGGUAUCGUGGAAUAACCCGGGCUCAUUUCUGCCACUACAUCAUUUAACACAUGGGUUCAAAUAUAGAACUGUAACGAUACGAUCGAAUCCAACGUCAUCAUCAUUCACUCAUUACCACCAUCACUACCACCAUCAUUACCACCAUCACUACCACCAUCAUUACCACCAUCACUACCACCAUCACCCACACCAUCAUUAACACCAUCACUACCACCAUCAUUACCACCAUCACUACCACCAUCACUACCACCAUCACUACCACCAUCACUACCACCAUCACCCACACCAUCAUUAACACCAUCACUACCACCAUCAUUACCACCAUCACUACCACCAUCAUUACCACCAUCACCCACACCAUCAUUAACACCAUCACUACCACCAUCAUUACCACCAUCACUACCACCAUCAUUACCACCAUCAUUUACACCAUCACUACCACCAUCACUACCACCAUCAUUACCACCAUCACUACCACCAUCACUACCACCAUCAUUAACCACCAUCACCCACACCAUCAUUACCACCAUCAUUUACACCAUCACUACCACCAUCACUACCACCAUCAUUACCACCAUCACUACCACCAUCAUUACCACCAUCAUUUACACCAUCACUCACUCAUUAACACCAUCACUACCACCAUCAUUACCACCAUAACCCACACCAUCACUACCACCAUCAUUACCACCAUCACCCACACCAUCAUUAACACCAUCACUACCACCAUCAUUACCACCAUCACUACCACCAUCAUUACCACCA